GACGAACGCUGGCGGCGUGCUUAACACAUGCAAGUCGAACGGAAAGGCCCUGCUUUUGUGGGGUGCUCGAUUGGCGAACGGGUGAGUAACACGUGAGUAACCUGCCCUUGACUUUGGGAUAACUUCAGGAAACUGGGGCUAAUAUCGGAUAGGAGCUCCUGCUGCAUGGUGGGGGUUGGAAAGUUUCGGCGUUUGGGGAUGGACUCGCGGCUUAUCAGCUUGUUGGUGGGGUAGUGGCUUACCAAGGCUUUGACGGGUAGCCGGCCUGAGAGGGUGACCGGCCACAUUGGGACUGAGAUAAGGCACAGACUCCUACGGGAGGCAGCAGUGGGGAAUAUUGCACAAUGAGCGGAAGCCUGAUGCAGCAACGCCGCGUGCGGGAUGACGGCCUUCGGGUUGUAAACCGCUUUCGCCUGUGACGAAGCGUGAGUGACGGUAAUGUGUAAAGAAGCACCGGCUAACUACGUG
RNAcentral lists this ribosomal RNA (468 nucleotides) under uncultured bacterium. Its description in RNAcentral is "partial 16S ribosomal RNA". It matches the Rfam family "Bacterial small subunit ribosomal RNA", at positions 28 to 507 of the family's 1533-position model. The record is from RNAcentral.